Molecule: long non-coding RNA, 3439 nt
Organism: Bos taurus (domestic cattle)
Lineage: Eukaryota; Metazoa; Chordata; Mammalia; Artiodactyla; Bovidae
Source: Ensembl
CAAGGCAGCACCGAGUCGAUGCAGCCUCUUCCCUCUUGGGGGUUAGGGUCUGUGGGCACAGACCCUGCCUUCUUUCUCCCAUUUGAGCAUCAGUGGUGGAUGGGGGCUGUUGGGACAGAACGUGGCAGUAUGCCCACGCACGCUGAGACCCGUUCCAGGAGGUGGCUUUCCAGAGCGCCCGGCGCCCCUGAAUUCCACACCACUCGAUUGUUGGAUUUUAUAUUGUUUUCAGAAAUACUGCAAGACCUUUUAUUAUUUUUAUUUGUUUAAUGGGAAGAGUUUUAAGAAUGUUACAAAAGUAACUCAGACUCUUGAACAAAACAUUACAACCAAACAUAAAGCAUGAACAGUUUAAAAGGUUCCUUAAAAUGUUAAAUAUAGAAUUACCAUUUGACCCAGAAAUUCCACUUCUGGGUAUAUACCCAGAAGAGGUAAAAGCAGGGAUGAGAGCAGAUACUUGCAGAUUUGUGUUCACAGCAGCAUUAUUCACAAAUAGCCACAAGGAAGCAACCUGAGUGUCCAUGGACAGAUGUAAGGAUAAACAGAACAUGGUGUAUAUCUACACAUACAGUGGACUAUAUUCAUCGACCAUAAAAAGGAAAUUCUGACACAGGCUACAAUAUGGAUGAACAUGCUAUAUGAAAAAAAAAAAAAAAGACACCAAACACAAUAAGACAAAUGUAAUUCCAUUUAUAUGAAAUAUCUAGAAUAGGAGAAUUAUAAGGAUAGAAAGGCCAGAUGUUAUUGGGUCCUUGGGGGAGGGGAUAUGGGACUUACUGUUUAAUGGGUGCAGAGUUUUGGUUUGGAGUAUGGAAAAUUUUUGAAAAUGGUAGUGAUGGCUGGACAUUGUCAGUGUAAUUCAUGUCACUGAACUGUACACUUAAAAAUGGUUUCAAUGGAAGUUUUAAUUAUAUAUAUGUAUUUUAUAAUUUAAAAGAUAGUUAAGAGAAAAAAGAAAACAUUGGAUUUACCUCUCUACUAUUCUACCACCCUGAAGCAGGAGCAGUCAAGUAACUUAACUGGAGUUUGGAGUCAUGUAAAUGGAAGGGCUAGGAUUUGAACUGAUUGCAAACCUCGCAAGAUUACAAUGGACUGCCUGUCUCUAAGCAGCCAGCAGCCAUGAUCAGGUGCCUUCCGCAGCCUUGCAUAUCAUCUCCCUGGGAGCACCAGUUGAUAUAAACAAUCCUCCUGAAAGUGAGAAGAGGGAGAAUGAGUCGGAGGUCAGUUUCCUUGUGGCUGAACUUCUUAUCAGCUUUUUGUGAAAGAACCUGGCCCAGCUCAUCCCAGGAAGGCAGUGAAGCCAGGGCAGCGCAAGACAUGACAGGAUGAAUUUCUGUGGCUGCCAGAGCCCAGGACGGGCAGGCAGAAUGCGCAGCAGCCCAGCAAGGCAUGCUCACCGUUAGGCGAAGGAAGGCUUAGCAAAUGGCAUGUAGUUUUCUAAAAGGCACAGAGUUUAAAAGUCCAUUCAGCCCAAAGUAUUUACACAAAUCUGAACUGUGAGCAUCAGGUAGGUGCCAGUCCUGACUCUGCUACCUGACCCUGAGCAAGUUCCCUGACAUUUUUUUUUAAGUCUCACAUUCAUCAUUUGGAGAACAGAGACUGUUAUUUCUUCUUUGCUGCAUUGCUGUGCAGAUUAAAUGAGCUGGCUUCUCUCAGAAGAAUAUCCAGAGUGCAAUUCCCCAGGUGUUCCUCUGGUUUGGGACUUGCUGGCCGCUGGAUGUGAGCAUCUAUCUCCCCUAUGGACUGGUGUUCCUUCAGCAUCCCCCCAAUAAAGCAAGUAAAUCAGCCCUGAAUAUUGAUUGGAAGAACUGAUGCUGAACCUGAAGCUCCAAUACUUUAGCCAUCUGAUGCAAAGAACUGACUCAUUGGAAAAGACCCUGAUGCUGGGCAAGAUUGAAGGCAGGAGGAGAAGGGGACGACAGAGGAUGAGAUGGUUGGAUGGCAUCACUGACUCAGUAGACAUGAGUUUGAACAAGCUCCGGGAGUUGGUGAUGCAGAAGCCUGGCAUGCUGCAGUCCAUGGGGUCACAAAAAGUUGGACACAACUGAGCAACUGAACAAUGACAACAUAAUAAAGCAAGUGCACUGAAUCCCUGCCUUAGGCUCUUGGAAGAUUUUGGGAGCAUGGCCUGUGGCUGACAGUCUGCAUAAUUCUCUAUUGAGGCUUCCCCUCAGACACUGUCAAGCCUUCACUCCAUGCUGUGCGGCCUGAUAGGGAACCUUUACUCUCAGGCCAGGAGCCUGGGCCUCUGAUAUGGGAAGGGGAAACAGAUUCCUACUGGAACAGGAAAGGCAUUUAAGUAACACUCAAACCAUAAAGCACUCAACUUUCCAUCUGGCUUCUCCGGAUCAUAUAUGUAUGUCACCUGUGACCCUCUCUGCCUUGUGGAGUUGUUGCUCUGUGCUUUUCUGCUCUGCCCUCCCACUGGGCUCUGAGUGUCCGUGGGAUGGGAAUUGCAGCUGAGUGGUUUCUGUACCCCCCAGCACUCAGCAUGGGCCUGCAUACAGUAGGUGUUCAGUAAACAUUUGAGGAAUUUGGAAUGAAAAACAUGUACAGCCAAGAUCAGCAAAGAAAGCAGACAGCAGGGACCCACCAAGACUUGGGCCUGCCAGACACCAUUUAUUGGCCUCUGUGCUUCAGAUGAAUUAAGCAGAAAGUGGGAAGGAAGCUGAAGAUAAAGAAACGACGUUCAGAAAGUUGAAGUGACAACACAGCUGCUAAGUGGUGAGGCUGGGAUUUGAACCUAAGUCUGUGUCUCCCUGACCCCUGACCUUCAACAGGGGUCAGUGAGGCUGUCUCAGUGAGAGCUAGUAGAGCCCAGAAUGUGCCUUAAAAACAAAAAAUGUAUGUAAUAGCAACUAUUCACACACUUUUGAUCACACAAAGAAUCACAAAUGUUACAAAAUAAAUUAGUGAUGUUUGGCCAUGUAUUGUGAGUCUGAAGCCCUCUGACAACAACAUAAUCUUAGAGGGACAGAGCUGCCCUGCUCUCAUUUCCUGACUUUGAUCUUGGGCUUCAGGGAGGGAAAAGCUUUCUGACUCUGGCAGACCUUCCUACAGUCUCCCAAAUACUUCCUUCAGGUAGUAGAAGGGCUGCCCAGGCCAGCUUCCCCAUCAUCUAUCUUGAACAAAAGGAGGUAAAAUUCAACCCUCUAAGUUUAGGGGAAGAAAGUCAAAGGGGAUUAGAAUUAUUGGAGGCUAGCUCUUUUGACGGGGAAGGUGAUGGCACCCCACUCCAGUACUCUUGCCUGGAAAAUCCCAUGGAUGGAGGAGCCUGGUGGGCUGUAGUCCGUGGGGUCGCGAAGAGUCGGACACGACUGAGUGACUUCCCUUUCACUUUUCACUUUCAUGCAUUGGAGAAGGAAACGGCAACCCACUCCAGUGCUCUUGCCUGGAGAAUCCCAGGGACGGGGGAGCCUGCUGGGCUGCUGUCUAUGGG